RNAcentral lists this ribosomal RNA (301 nucleotides) under uncultured bacterium. Its description in RNAcentral is "partial 16S ribosomal RNA". It matches the Rfam family "Bacterial small subunit ribosomal RNA", at positions 509 to 807 of the family's 1533-position model. The record is from RNAcentral.
CAGCAGCCGCGGGAAUACAGAGGAUGCAAGCGUUAUCCGGAAUGAUUGGGCGUAAAGCGUCUGUAGGUGGCUUUUCAAGUCCGCCGUCAAAUCCCAGGGCUCAACCCUGGACAGGCGGUGGAAACUACCAAGCUGGAGUACGGUAGGGGCAGAGGGAAUUUCCAGUGGAGCGGUGAAAUGCGUUGAGAUCGAAAAGAACACCAACAGCGAAAGCACUCUGCUGGGACGACACUGACACUAAGAGACGAAAGCUAGGGGAGCAAAUGGGAUUAGAUACCCCAGUAGUCCCUGUCUCUUAUAC